AGGAGCUUGCUCCUUUGACGUUAGCGGCGGACGGGUGAGUAACACGUGGAUAACCUACCUAUAAGACUGGGAUAACUUCGGGAAACCGGAGCUAAUACCGGAUAACAUAUUGAACCGCAUGGUUCAAUAGUGAAAGGCGGCUUUGCUGUCACUUAUAGAUGGAUCCGCGCCGUAUUAGCUAGUUGGUAAGGUAACGGCUUACCAAGGCAACGAUACGUAGCCGACCUGAGAGGGUGAUCGGCCACACUGGAACUGAGACACGGUCCAGACUCCUACGGGAGGCAGCAGUAGGGAAUCUUCCGCAAUGGGCGAAAGCCUGACGGAGCAACGCCGCGUGAGUGAUGAAGGUCUUCGGAUCGUAAAACUCUGUUAUCAGGGAAGAACAAAUGUGUAAGUAACUGUGCACAUCUUGACGGUACCUGAUCAGAAAGCCACGGCUAACUACGUGCCAGCAGCCGCGGUAAUACGUAGGUGGCAAGCGUUAUCCGGAAUUAUUGGGCGUAAAGCGCGCGUAGGCGGUUUUUUAAGUCUGAUGUGAAAGCCCACGGCUCAACCGUGGAGGGUCAUUGGAAACUGGAAAACUUGAGUGCAGAAGAGGAAAGUGGAAUUCCAUGUGUAGCGGUGAAAUGCGCAGAGAUAUGGAGGAACACCAGUGGCGAAGGCGACUUUCUGGUCUGUAACUGACGCUGAUGUGCGAAAGCGUGGGGAUCAAACAGGAUUAGAUACCCUG
RNAcentral lists this ribosomal RNA (730 nucleotides) under bacterium SCSIO13300. RNAcentral describes it as "bacterial SSU rRNA". It matches the Rfam family "Bacterial small subunit ribosomal RNA", at positions 74 to 789 of the family's 1533-position model. The record is from RNAcentral.